RNAcentral lists this long non-coding RNA (425 nucleotides) under Rhinopithecus roxellana (golden snub-nosed monkey). Its description in RNAcentral is "lncRNA (ENSRROG00000045917.1)". Lineage: Eukaryota; Metazoa; Chordata; Mammalia; Primates; Cercopithecidae. The record is from RNAcentral.
AGUUGAUUCAGUCGACCCUGGUAAACAGCGGCCUUUCUGUUUCAGCCUGCAGUGUCUGGGCCAGUGCAAGCUUCAGAUAGACUUAUGAAAGGGCUCAGGGACAUAUACAGAUCACAGAGUUAUAAGACAAGUUGACCCUGAUAGUCCUUUGCACAGUGAUCUUCAGAUCUUAAAAGAAAAACAAGGGAUAGGAGACAUUUUGCUUAUCUUUUAAGGUAUGUAUUGGAUGGAGGAGCACUAUGUAUGGAACCUCUCACAAAACAGGGCUGAAGCAGUGCCUACUCGAUAGAAUCAGUCAUCAUGCAGAUAAAUGCCAAAUGAGUCAAAGGCAAAGCCAACGUGCAGCUUGGAGCAAAGAAGGUACUUUUAUUAAGAAUUUGAUAUAAACCCUAAGAUAAAUUUUAUAUUACUUUGUGAACCUUCUU